GAUGAACGCUAGCGAUAGGCUUAACACAUGCAAGUCGAGGGGCAGCACAAGGUAGCUUGCUAUCUGGGUGGCGACCGGCGCACGGGUGCGUAACGCGUAUGCAACUUGCCCUAUACAGGAGGAUAACCCGUCGAAAGACGGACUAAUACUGCGUAUGCUCACAACUUGGCAUCAAGUGGUGAGGAAAGAAAUUCGGUAUAGGAUAGGCAUGCGUCCCAUUAGCUUGUUGGUGAGGUAACGGCUCACCAAGGCAACGAUGGGUAGGGGAACUGAGAGGUUUAUCCCCACACUGGUACUGAGACACGGACCAGACGCCUACGGGAGGCAGCAGUAGGGAAUAUUGGUCAAUGGGCGCGAGCAUGAACCAGACAAGUCGCGUGAAGGAUGACUGUCUUAUGGAUUGUAAACUUCUUUUAUACGGGAAUAACAAGAGUCACGUGUGACUCCCUGCAUGUACCGUAUGAAUAAGCAUCGGCUAACUCCGUG
RNAcentral lists this ribosomal RNA (486 nucleotides) under uncultured bacterium. Its description in RNAcentral is "partial 16S ribosomal RNA". It matches the Rfam family "Bacterial small subunit ribosomal RNA", at positions 28 to 507 of the family's 1533-position model. The record is from RNAcentral.